This 496-nucleotide ribosomal RNA is filed under the name uncultured bacterium. Its description in RNAcentral is "partial 16S ribosomal RNA". It matches the Rfam family "Bacterial small subunit ribosomal RNA", at positions 28 to 506 of the family's 1533-position model. The record is from RNAcentral.
GAUGAACGCUGGCGGCGUGCCUAAUACAUGCAAGUCGAGCGAACAGACGAGGAGCUUGCUCCUCUGACGUUAGCGGCGGACGGGUGAGUAACACGUGGAUAACCUACCUAUAAGACUGGGAUAACUUCGGGAAACCGGAGCUAAUACCGGAUAAUAUAUUGAACCGCAUGGUUCAAUAGUGAAAGACGGUUUUGCUGUCACUUAUAGAUGGAUCCGCGCCGCAUUAGCUAGUUGGUAAGGUAACGGCUUACCAAGGCAACGAUGCGUAGCCGACCUGAGAGGGUGAUCGGCAACACUGGAACUGAGACACGGUCCAGACUCCUACGGGAGGCAGCAGUAGGGAAUCUUCCGCAGUGGGCGAAAGCUUGACGGAGCAACGCCGCGUGAGUGAUGAAGGUCUUCGGAUCGUAAAACUCUGUUAUUAGGGAAGAACAAAUGUGUAAGUAACUAUGCACGUCUUGACGGUACCUAAUCAGAAAGCCACGGCUAACUACGU